UACUUAGGAUGCGAGCGUUAUCCGGAUUUAUUGGGUUUAAAGGGUGCGUAGGCGGGUGUUUAAGCGUGAGGUGAAAUGCCGGGGCUCAACCUCGGAACUGCCUCGCGAACUGGGCGCCUUGAAUGCUCCUGCCGUGGGAGGAAUGUGUGGUGUAGCGGUGAAAUGCAUAGAGAUCACACAGAACACCGAUUGCGAAGGCAUCUCACGAAGGGGUGAUUGACGCUGAGGCACGAAAGCGUGGGGAUCAAAC
RNAcentral lists this ribosomal RNA (250 nucleotides) under uncultured prokaryote. RNAcentral describes it as "partial 16S ribosomal RNA". It matches the Rfam family "Bacterial small subunit ribosomal RNA", at positions 524 to 773 of the family's 1533-position model. The record is from RNAcentral.